RNAcentral lists this ribosomal RNA (253 nucleotides) under uncultured bacterium. RNAcentral's name for it is "partial 16S ribosomal RNA". It matches the Rfam family "Bacterial small subunit ribosomal RNA", at positions 524 to 776 of the family's 1533-position model. The record is from RNAcentral.
UACGGGGGGGGCAAGCGUUGUUCGGAAUUACUGGGCGUAAAGGGCUCGUAGGCGGCCAACUAAGUCCGACGUGAAAUCCCCAGGCUUAACCUGGGAACUGCGUCGGAUACUGGAUGGCUUGAAUCCGGGAGAGGGAUGCGGAAUUCCAGGUGUAGCGGUGAAAUGCGCAGAUAUCAGGAGGAACACCAAUUGCGAAGGCAGCUCGCUGGGACGUAACUGACGCUGAGACGCGAAAGCGUGGGGAGCAAACAGG